UUUUUUUUUCAAAAAAACAACAAAAUAUGAUCAAAUUAUAUUAUGUUUUUUUAAUAAAAAGGUAAAAAAUAAAUAAAAAAUAGAGUAGUUACAAAAAAGUUUAAAAAAUAUUUUUUUAACAUCGUCAGAAGAACCCUAAACUCUAAAUCAUAAAUCCUAAGCUCUAGGAUAAACCUUAAACUCUUGGAUAAAUCAUAAAAUCUAAAUAAAAACACUAAACACUAAAGUUUUAUCCAAGAGUUUAGGGUUACCCAAGGUUUAGGGUUUACCCAAAAGUUUAGGGUUUAGUGUUUUGUAACUAUUGUUUUUUUUUUAACUUUUUUUUUAAAACAUAAUAUAACUUCAUAAUAUUUUAUUUGUUUUUCUAGAAGAUAUCGAAUAUGAAAUAAUGAAAUCUUAUUGAUUGGUGAACCUAGAGAUUCACUAUGCGGAGUGAAUCCAAGAAUAACUCUUUUGAUAAACAUGUGCACAAUAGCAUUUGCAAUAUGGCGUCGUUUGAAUAAAAUAAGGUAUGAACUAAAAACUAUAGCUUUGACUGGUAUAAAUCAACUAUAUUGUAGAAUAUUCAAAUCUAUAUAUAUAAAGUUAGCUUGUCUGGCUGCUCCUGCUGCCACGUCACUCUGGAGAGAGGGGCGUUUUGCGCCACGUGUCGCCUAAACAAGCACUCUACGAAACCAAUUUGUCGUGUCCUUUGCGUUAUUGAAUUGGGCUUCUGUUUUGUUUCUUUUGCAUUCUUUAAUUGGGGUUUUUUAAUUUCCAGGUCCGUAUAUCAUGUGCUAUACCAGAAAGUGAGGUUUUCAUUAUAGCUUUUGUAGACCCGAUGAAGCCGUCUUCCAUAAACAUCUGAAACGCCUUAGAUUCCCAUUAAUUCCCACCCUCCUCCACUACGCAGCAUUAAAUCAAGCUUGGACUCUUCAUAUGUAAACGGCCAAAACUUUCCUAUAAAUUGGUAUCGUUGUAUAGAUGAAAACACCAAAUCUAGGAGAACUACAAGUAUCAUAUCUUCUAAUUACCAGCUCCAACAAUGGCGAAUUCCUUCACACUACUUGCUGAUUUGAUAGCCGGACGAUGUUCAACCACAACCAAGUUUCGUCUUCUUAGGUUUUGAUGGGUGUUGAUAUGCUACUCAUUGACGAGAAGUCAAAGCUUAUGUAGGGAUCCGUGAGUGCGAACCCUCUCAGCUUCUUCAGGGAGCGUUUCAGUAACAACAAUUUCUGAUUGUCUGAUGCUCCCCUCGCCAUUGAUAGCACUUCAUUUUAAGAGAAUGUACGGAUUCGCCGCGUCUUUGGCCGCUGGUUUGCUGCUCAUGUUUCUGGUAAUGAUCAAUUUCACAUAUCCAGUGCCUUACCAUGAAUUGAAUUGGAAUGAUCCUGUGGCCAAUCUGUAAUAAGUAAUUCAUGUUUCCUUUCUUCUUCUGCAAUCCGUGAUCGUAUUUGUCAUCCCCAUCAAGUUUGUGCUGCUCUUCACAUUUGCAAAUGAGAAGCACAGUCUUCCUCAUGGGACCUGAGCAACAGAUAAAUAUGAUGUUCGUAUCUACGCUACCUCUAUCUAUGUCAGAUGCAUCCUUCUUGCACUCAUUUUGCGCUCUCUUGAUCCACAGCAAGAUUUUGACAGUGAUUGCGAUCCUAUGCAAGACUUGUGCACUUAUGUGGUACAGCCUCAGUUAUAUUCCAUUUACGCGAAGAAUGGUCUCUGAAAUAAUGAUCUGUCUCUGUGAUAACGAGCUAUAGUACACAAACUCGCAUUUUACUGGUCUCGAGAAUUUGAGAGAUGAUUUAAAAAAAAAAAUUGUUUGACCUGAUGAGGUGGUUUGCGCAUGAAUCAAAAGUAACGCAACUGGAGUUUUUUUUUUUUGAGGGCUUGAAGCUCUUGCGUGUGUUUACUUCUAUUACUUCAAGGUCUUUUGCAGUCACUUGACAUUUGUUUGAUAAGAGAUUACUUUCAUAUAAUCCCUCGGAGUUCUCAUUUUACCCAUCCCUUUUAUACAGUUUAUAUUUUUGGUUCAUACACAAUACCCUGUAAUAUGCUUUUCUCUUCAAAAAAAAAAAUAUGCUUAAUCUUUUACUACUCUAUGGUUCAACUUUCCUAAUAAAAAGAAGUGAAGACAAUAAAGCCUAGAUACUAGAUAGGCCUUUCUUUAUUGACAACGAGAAACAACAUCAUAUUCUCUGCAUUAUAAGUUCUUAAUGUAAAAAAAAUGAAAUAGGGAACAUUAAUCCAAACGACCGCACUUAAUGUCCAAAAAAUUCAAUAAAUUAUAUUAACUACUCAAUUAACUACAUAAUAUAUAUCUAUAAAUAGGUUACAUAUGCUUUCACUUUGGCAACGACCACGACCAAAUACCAAACAAAAAUGCACACUAAACACCAAUUCACACAUUGAAAACUAACCAAAAAUAUAUAAAGAGAAAUCAUUUCAUGAGUAUCACGAUUCUCAGGAAUAAUCGUCUUUAACAUCAUGAAAUCAACAUCGGUACUAGCAGAAGCAGUCCAAGAAUUUUGGGUGUACAAAAAUACCAAUUUAAAUCCUUUAACGGUCCAACCCCUAACAUCGAUAGAUAACUAGAGACAACAACUUAAAGACAAUAUUUCUUUUGGCCGAUAAUGUGUUGAUCCCCUACUUCAAAGCAUGCAGAAGUAUUUUGAAAACAACAACACAAACUUAGGUUUCAACAUUUCCAAACCAAAACGGUUGGUUCAUACAACAAUGACAUUUACUUAUACAGCACAACAUUAUUAUGCAAAGAACUGCCUGGUCCUGUAAUUUUCGAGGUCCCCAAAAUUAAAAUAAAAUAAAUAUCAUAACAUAUAUUAAAUAGAGAGGAAGAGCUAAGCAGGUAGAAAAAGAUUGGGGGAUCAUGAAAAAAAAAUUUGUACUUUUGAAUGGUUUUGUAAAAAAGUGUGUAGUCUAAGUGGGAUUAAAAUAAGGUUUUAUAUACGUACAAAAGGUUGUAUGCAUUUCUAUUAUCCAAAAGAAUUUUCGAAGCCCAUACAAAACAUAUAUUAAUUAAUUAUUGAAAUUUGUAUUUAUUGUAAUACUUUCUUUUUUUUAAAUGACCUAUUGAAAUGGCUUUUUUACAAAAAUUCAUUUGUUAGAUUAUUUAUUUGUUUGUUUUCUUACAUAAAAUCAAUUAAUAUAAUGUAUUAAUAUUUUAUUUUAAAUAAACUAUACACAAAUAAUUAUUUUCUAAGUUUAUUUUUAAAAACUGUGGGCCCCGUAAAUUGGGUGAUCUUAUGCUAAUGUUUCAUGUGUUUGUGGUAAAAAAACCAUAUAUCAUCUUUAUUCUCUGUUCUUGAAGCACUAGCAGCUAAAAAGAAACGUUUCUUCUUUCUCAACGCUUUUGAAAAUACAGAAAAUUACAGCAUGAAACAGAGCUAUUUCUGAUUUUCUACAUAUAAAAUUUCAUUUUUUUAUAAUAUUUUAACAAAAAAAUAAUGCUAUAUUCCGUGCAGAAACAUAUGCGUUUUAAUAUAAUUUUAAAACUUAUUAUGAUAUUUUCUCAUAUGUAAUUUUAAAUAAGAAAGACAUUAAUUUAAAAAAAUGUAGUCUUCAUGUAGCCAACAAAUUAGCUGAGAAAGGUCAUCGCAUAACUUACUUGCUUCCCAAAAAAGCUCAAAAACAACUCGAAUUUCUUAAUCUUUUCCCAGACAGCAUUUUCUUCCACCCUCUUACUCUUCCUCCUGUUGAAGGUCUCCAUGUUAGCGUAGAGACAACCACAGAUCUCCCACCAAACACGACUCGAAAACUCAUAUCCGAUGCCAUGCAUCUCUUACGCGAGCAGAUAGAAGCACAAGUUCGUGCAUUGAAUCCAGAAUUUAAAUGGAUACGCAAGUAGUGCUCCGUAUUUGUAUAUCUAUCAAGGUAUUAUUGUUUUUAUUAAGAUGUGUUUGUUCAUAUAUUCUCAUGUAAUAAAUUAAAUUCCAAACAAUUGGCUUCUAAAACUUCCCAUUACAUCAUACCAUUGAAAUCAAUUUGAAAGUAAACUAUAUUCUAACAAUCAAUACUUCCAAAUGCAUACCCUCGCCAGAAACGUCAAUCACUUUGAAAAGAUAGUUUAACGGAGAUAACAAAUAGGUAAUAUUCUGCGAGGACAGACCACUAGAAAUCAGCCCAUCUAAGAGCAUAACUUUAUCAUAGGGCACUUAAGAUAUCAAGUUCUAUUCAUGUUCUAAUUUUGCAAAAAAAAAAAUAUAUAUAUAUACAAUGUCUCCUCCUCUCUGGCUCUCUCUAUGCUUGAAAUAUUGGAUGCACUUGAAUGGAAAACAGAUAAACGAUAAAGAUGCACAGAGUUUAUUAAUGAGUGAGAGUCACCUGACUAGAAUGUUAUUUUACCAAUUAUAGAUGCACAAGAGCAACAAUAGUAUGCCACAGACCCAACAUAAAUAAUCGAUGUGACACAUGUUAUUACUAUAAGUAAAUGACAAAAUUUACUUUCGUUAUUUAAGUCAAUUAAAAUAAAUUAUGUUCUACAAUACCUUUUCCCUUAUGCUGGCAAUCUUUUUCCAAUUAACACUAAACAAAAAAACUCAGAAGAUAAAAAUGCUAGAUUAGCCAAAGACAAUGUAAUUUUAGUAUUUGGUCAAAUAAUUUUUUUGAAUAAAAACAUUGUUAAAGUCAGACACACUCAUAAUAAUGGAUAGAAUACAUUCAGAUAUACCACCAUCAAACAUAAAACUUUAACACACAAUUAAAAAAUAUAUUAAUAUACUACAUAUAUAAUCUCAUGCAAAUGCAAAAAAAAAAGAGGACGUAUUUUCAUUAAAAAUAUAGCUGAAAUGAAUACUGAAAAUAAAAUAGUACAA
Molecule: RNA transcript, 4802 nt
Organism: Brassica rapa (field mustard)
Lineage: Eukaryota; Viridiplantae; Streptophyta; Magnoliopsida; Brassicales; Brassicaceae
Gene name: vesicle transport protein SFT2B-like
Source: RefSeq, a predicted model, not a curated record